UAGCGAAGCUCUUGAUCGAAGCCCGAGUAAACGGCGGCCGUAACUAUAACGGUCCUAAGGUAGCGAAAUUCCUUGUCGGUUAAAUACCGACCUGCAUGAAUGGCGUAACGAGAUGGGAGCUGUCUCAAAGAGGGAUCCAGUGAAAUUGUAGUGGAGGUGAAAAUUCCUCCUACCCGCGGCAAGACGGAAAGACCCCGUGGACCUUUACUACAGCUUGACACUGCUAUUUGGAUAAGAAUGUGCAGGAUAGGUGGGAGGCUUUGAGUAUAUGACGCCAGUUGUAUAGGAGCCAUUGUUGAGAUACCACUCUUUCUUAUUUGGGUAGCUAACCAGCUUGAGUUAUCCUCAAGUGGGACAAUGUCUGGUGGGUAGUUUGACUGGGGCGGUCGCCUCCCAAAUAAUAACGGAGGCUUACAAAGGUUGGCUCAGAACGGUUGGAAAUCG
RNAcentral lists this ribosomal RNA (444 nucleotides) under Campylobacter jejuni. Its description in RNAcentral is "bacterial LSU rRNA". It matches the Rfam family "Bacterial large subunit ribosomal RNA", at positions 1897 to 2340 of the family's 2925-position model. Lineage: Bacteria; Pseudomonadati; Campylobacterota; Epsilonproteobacteria; Campylobacterales; Campylobacteraceae. The record is from RNAcentral.